UACGUAGGGGGCAAGCGUUGUCCGGAUUUAUUGGGCGUAAAGAGCGUGUAGGCGGCCAGACAGGUCCGUUGUGAAAGCUCGAGGCUCAACCUCGAGAUGUCGAUGGAAACCGUCUGGCUAGAGUCCGGAAGAGGAGUGUGGAAUUCCUGGUGUAGCGGUGAAAUGCGCAGAUAUCAGGAAGAACACCUAUGGCGAAGGCAGCACUCUGGGACGGUACUGACGCUGAGACGCGAAAGCGUGGGGAGCGAACAGG
This 253-nucleotide ribosomal RNA is filed under the name uncultured bacterium. Its description in RNAcentral is "partial 16S ribosomal RNA". It matches the Rfam family "Bacterial small subunit ribosomal RNA", at positions 524 to 776 of the family's 1533-position model. The record is from RNAcentral.